AGCAAGCGGACGAAGGCAUACACGGCGGCCGAGGACAAGCUCCUUUGUGAGUGUUGAAGGGACAUUGCGCAAGACCCCCAGGUCAGCGCGAAGCAGAAGGCAUCAACCUUUUGGAUUCGUGUCCACCGUGAGUUCCAUGAACGCAAGAAGUUUGCGCCGUACCAAAUGCAUAGCACGCGCGGGUGGGUGUCCAUUUUGAAGCGAUGGAGGGUGAUCCAUAAGAGUGCAAUAAGUCUUGUGCCACUCUCGAGAGCAUCAAGGCACGCCCCAUGA
RNAcentral lists this ribosomal RNA (273 nucleotides) under Triticum aestivum (bread wheat). RNAcentral's name for it is "partial small subunit ribosomal RNA". The record is from RNAcentral. Lineage: Eukaryota; Viridiplantae; Streptophyta; Magnoliopsida; Poales; Poaceae.